Pipistrellus kuhlii (Kuhl's pipistrelle) is the source of this 107-nucleotide small nuclear RNA. The record is from RefSeq and is a predicted model, not a curated record. NCBI's taxonomy places the organism in Eukaryota, Metazoa, Chordata, Mammalia, Chiroptera, Vespertilionidae.
GUGCUGGAUUCGGCAGCACAUAGACUAAACUUCGAACGAUACAGAGAAGAUUAGCAUGGCCCCUGUGCAAGGAUGACACGCAAAGUCGUAAAGCGUUCCAUAUACUU